This 253-nucleotide ribosomal RNA is filed under the name uncultured bacterium. RNAcentral's name for it is "partial 16S ribosomal RNA". It matches the Rfam family "Bacterial small subunit ribosomal RNA", at positions 526 to 779 of the family's 1533-position model. The record is from RNAcentral.
CGUAGGGUGCAAGCGUUAAUCGGAAUUACUGGGCGUAAAGCGUGCGCAGGCGGUUUUGUAAGUCAGAUGUGAAAGCCCCGGGCUUAACCUGGGAACUGCGUUUGAAACUACAAGGCUAGAGUGUGGCAGAGGGGGUGGAAUUCCACGUGUAGCAGUGAAAUGCGUAGAGAUGUGGAGGAACACCGAUGGCGAAGGCAGCCCCCUGGGUUAACACUGACGCUCAGGCACGAAAGCGUGGGGAGCAAACAGGAUU